GAGUAAUAGGGCUGGGGUUGUAGC
This 24-nucleotide non-coding RNA is filed under the name Cricetulus griseus (Chinese hamster). The record is from RNAcentral. Lineage: Eukaryota; Metazoa; Chordata; Mammalia; Rodentia; Cricetidae.